UACGUAGGGGGCAAGCGUUGUUCGGAAUUACUGGGCGUAAAGGGCGCGUAGGCGGCACAGCAAGUCGGGAGUGAAAGCCCGGGGCUCAACCCCGGAACUGCCUUUAAGACUGCAUCGCUUGAAUCCAGGAGAGGUGAGUGGAAUUCCGAGUGUAGAGGUGAAAUUCGUAGAUAUUCGGAAGAACACCAGUGGCGAAGGCGGCUCACUGGACUGGUAUUGACGCUGAUGGUGCGAAAGCGUGGGGAGCAAACAGG
This 254-nucleotide ribosomal RNA is filed under the name uncultured bacterium. RNAcentral's name for it is "partial 16S ribosomal RNA". It matches the Rfam family "Bacterial small subunit ribosomal RNA", at positions 524 to 776 of the family's 1533-position model. The record is from RNAcentral.